CAUUGACAUAUUGUUCAGACAUGUAUUACAUGCAUAUGUAAAUAGUUUUUGUUGUUCUGCUCUGAAGCGCCUUGAGCCUCUAAUAAGGAUGGAAAGUGCGCAAUAUAAAUCUUAUGUACUAUUAUUAUUAACAUGACCAUCACUAUACUUCUUAUGAUAUUUAUGAGGAUGAAGGCAGACCAUCUGUAAUGAUAGGCAUGUGCAGAAGGAUGAUACUGCUGACACAAUUUUAGAGACCUUAAAGACAAUUAUACACGAUGUUGUCGGGGAACAAGUAGAUCAAGCCUAAAAUCAAGCAGUGAAUACCGUUUUGGCAAACAUAAGGAACAUAAUGAGCGAUAGGCAUACCAUUCAGAAGAAAUUCUUUCUUAAAUUGAAGGGUAUUUCGGCCGUACCCCUUGCUCCUUUUAAAUGCAAUAGGUUUUCAAAAAUUUUUCGCAACGCUGCCAGUGUUGCUUACCUGCUACCAGAAAUACAAGCACUUUUUGACAUCCAUGAAGAUGAGAAUCUCCUGCUGAAGGCUGUCAUUGCCAAUUUAGGCAUCAGCCAGUUUGCUGCUGGGCCUCAUUGACAAGUUUAUCACCGGUCCGUUAUGGCACGCGAUAAAUCAGAAGGGAGUGUAGUAGCGACUGCCUUGGGGGCUGGGGUUCGGAUAUUCUCGGAGGAUUUCGUAAGGAGUCGGUGGGGUUUCUCGACCUGUGACCCAGGGUCACAGGUAGUAUGCUCUUCAUGACUCACACGUGUUUGGACCGUUGAACUGAAAGCAUCGCUUUUGCCGAAACUCCUGAAAGAGCUGUUUCUUGUUUGGAUACCAAGCUGGGCAGACCUAAGUACAGGUAAGUGGGUUCUUUAUUUGAACUUAGGACCCGCGCGGCUUCAGGAGGUUCAUGUAGAAGACAAGUUAUUCAUGAGAGUUUUUCUAGGUGGUCAGAGGAUAGGAACCAACUCGUGAGGGGGGAUGAUGUCCUAUUUCAUGACAUUGACAUCAAGAAAGAUCAAAUUUAUCAUUCACUAGUGCAAGUUAAUCCAGAUUUGGAUGCAAUGACAAAGCAGGCUCUAGAAUUUGUUUUCCUGAUAUUCUUCCAAGUCACCUAAAAGAUGUUGGCCGACCAUUUGCCUUCCGGCUCUCAUACAGUAAUAGAUGGAAAAAAGAAAAGGAAAACAGCUAGUAUGCCAAGGACCAAUGCAAGUUUAGAAAGAAAUUUCAGUACGCAAGAGAGGUUGAUGCACUUAAAGCCAGCCACGAGUACAAUGGCGUAUGAAGGGAUAGUUAUGAAUGUAAAGAAUAGGACAAGUGAAGGGAGGAAUACAUGGAAUAUGCCCAGAAGAGCAUCAAGGCUCAAAGGGAGGAAUACGCACAAAGGGUAGAGACCCUAUGGGAUAAUAGGGAAGGCACACAAAAAAAUCAGAAGCAAAUUGCCAAAUAAGGUGAGGACUGAAAAGUUGUUUGCUCGUGUUAGCAGCAAGUGCAGCAGGAUAUGGCUCUCAGAAACUAAAGUCAAUUCUCGAUUAGAGGGGGCCAAUGACAAGCAUGCCAUUGAAAUGCUUUACUCUCAGUCACAGGCUAGAUGACAUGUUUUUGGGAAGAAUAUUGACAGUAAUUUAGAUAUCACUGUCAAAGGUAGAAAGAAGAGCUUGUUAGAACUAAAACAGUCCCUAAUUAGUGUAAUCAAAGCAGCCAAUGACAGGGACUGUAAUGUUGAAGAAGAAGAAAUCAAUUAUGAUUAGGCCGUAGCACCCACCGACAAGGUAGAUGUGUUCAGGCAAAAGACGUGCAAAAAGAUGGCAAAAGAAAAACUAGGACCUCAUGAGGCAAGGCCGUGAACUACGAUAGCUUAGUGGGAAUAAUAGUUGACCAUCUAUCAAUAGACGAAGAUGGUGACGUGUAAGGGUGGUACCGUGCCAUAGUUGUUCGAAAAUAUCAGAGGUCUUAGCUAUGAUAGUGACCCAAUGUCGAUCUAAACUUAUCCAAAUAGAGACAUAGAAGGUUUGGAAAAAGGGGACCUCGAGGUUGUAGAAUUGAAUGUUGAUGAUAUAGUAGGGAUGUAUUUAAUUCAUCAGUUUGUGGUCGGGGAUGAAAAGAUAUGGUAUGUACAGAGGUAGAUGAGUUCAGGCAAAAGACGUGCAAAAAGAUGGCAAAAGAAAAGACUAGGACCUCAUGAGGCAAGGCCGUGAACUACGAUAGCUUAGUGGGAAUAAUAGUUGACCAUCUAUCAAUAGACGAAGAUGGUGACGCGUAAGGGUGGUACCGUGCCAUAGUCGUUCAAAAAUAUCCAAGAGGUCUUAGCUAUGAAAGUGACCCAAUGUCGAUCUAAACUUAUCCAAAGAGAGACAUAGAAGGUUUGGAAAAAGGGGACCUCGAGGUUGUAGAAUUGAAUGUUGAUGAUAUAGUAGGGAUGUAUUUAAUUCAUCAGUUUGUGGUCGGGGAUGAAACGAUAUGGUAUGUACAGAGGGUUCAUAUCCUCUGUAACCGGCCCCCAUGAAUGCCUCGUCGAGUAUAAAUCUUUAGAAGAUGAAAAUGUCGACAGCGAUACAAUAGAUAAUACAUGGGUAGGACCAAUUUUAGAAGAUUGUCUUAAUAAUGACCUGAGGUUUGUUAGACCUAAAAUACCAAAUAUUCUUGUAAUGCUCCAGAUCAAAUUUAUCAUUUACAUGGAAUAUGCCCAGAAGAGCGUCAAGGCUCAAAGGGAUGAAUAUGCGUGAAGGGUAGAGACCCCUUGGGAUAAUAAGAAAUCCAAAAGAAAAAAUCAGAAGCAAAUUGCCAAAUAAGGUAAGGACUGAAAAGUUGUAUGCUAGUGUUAGCAGAAAGUGCGUCAGGAUAUGGCUAUCAGAAACUGAAGUCAAUUCUCGAUUAGACGGGGUCAAUGAAAAGCUUGCCAUCAAAAUGCUUCACUCUCAGUUACAGGCUAGAUUUCUUUUUUGGGAGAAGAACAUUGACAGUAAUUUAAAUAUCACUGUCAAAGGUAGAAAGAAGAGCUUGUUAGAACUAAAACAGUCCAUAAUUAGUGUAAUCAAAGCAGCCAAUGACAGGGUUUGUAAUGUUGAAGAAGAAAUUAAUUAUGAUUAGGCCGUAGCACCCACCCGACAAGGUAGUUGAGUUCAGGCAAAAGAUGCACAAAAAGAUGGCAAAAGAAAAGACUAGGACCUCAUGAGGCAAGGCCGUGAACUACGAUAGCUUAGUAGGAAUAAUAGUUGACCAUCUAUCAAUAGACGAAGAUGGUGACGCGUAAGGGUGGUACCGUGCCAUAGUCGUUCGAAAAUAUCAAAGAGGUCUUAGCUAUGAUAGUGACCCAAUGUCGAUCUAAACUUAUCCAAAGAGAGACAUAGGUUUGGAAAAAGGGGACCUCAAGGUUGUAGAAUUGAAUGUUGAUGAUAGUAGGGAUGCAUUUCAUUCAUCACUUUGUGGUCGGGGAUGAAAAGAUAUGGUAUGUACAGAGGGUUCAUAUCCUCCGUAAACGGCCCCAAUGAACGCCUCGUAGAGUGAAUCUUUAGAAGAUGAAAACGACGAUGACAGUGAUACAACAAUUACAUGGGUAGGACCAAUUUUAGAAGAUUAUCUUAAUAACGACCUGAGGUAUGUUAGACCUACAAUACCAAAUAUUCUUGUAAUGCUCCAUUCAGAACUCUUAACCCUCCAUAUAUUUAUGCUGGAGGUUGGUGCAGAGCUUUGAAUCAAGCGAGCCGAUGUAAACUAUUGUCUUGUUAUAUCUGACAACCAAAACAAUGAAUUAAUGGUGGGUCGAGGCAAAAGACAGCCAAUUCAUUUGUUAUUUAUCAAUUUUUCAUUUACCUUUACCGGAGACUGAUUUCUUGCCCAGCCCUACGCGGCGAAAAGAGAGCUUGGGCUAGAGCUUUUCGGUGGCAGUUUCUGAAGAGCGCUCAACCAAGAUUUUUUGUUUCUCUCACUCUGUCUCUAUCUCUUUACAAAGCCACUCCAUUCUUUGCAACUCUAUCUCACUCUACUCAUUUUAACCACUCUACAUGCCUUACGUUUUGUGAAAUAACAGAAACUGUUAUUGGUCGCGAUAUUUUUGUGUUGUGCUUUACAUUGUAACUUUUGUUAAAUUUGGAAUGAAAAAGAAUAAAUGCAAUCAAUCAAUCAAACUGUAGAAUGCAUUGACGUAAUGAGCCAAAUGAGGGAUGCGUGUUAUGCAUAUACUUAUGAUAAAAAUAAACAUAGGCGGAUCCAGGGGGGCCCUGAGGGGAACGCCCUUCUCCCCAUUGGCUGAGAAAAAAAAAACAGAAGGGGAAAGAAAGAAAAGGAGCGAGCCGAGCGAGCAAAAAUUUUGAAUUUUUAUUACAAAAUCAGAGUGUGUGAGACAUUUUUUCUAAGUACUAGAAAAUAAUAUUUUACCCUUUGCUCUUCCCUUUUCACUUCUUUUUCUUGGUUGUGAUUUUUUUUUUUUGGGGGGGGGGGGCGAGAAACCAAAGCCCCUAUCUAUUACGUCACGGGUAAAAUAUUAAAGUUAAUUACUUUACCGCAGAUUUCGAUUAAUUUUUCAGUGUUAUGCUUCUUUACGUUGGGCCGUGGAUUUUCUUCUUUUACAGCUUGUUAGAACUAAAACAGUCCCUAAUUAGUGUAAUCAAAGCAGCCAAUGACAGGGCCUGUAAUGUUGAAGAAGAAGAAAUCAAUUAUGAUUAGGCCGUAGCACCCACCGACAAGGUAGAUGAGUUCAGGCAAAUGACGCGCAAAAAGAUGGCAAAAGAAAAGACUAGGACCUCAUGAGGCAAGGCCGUGAACUACGAUAGCUUAGUGGGAAUAAUAGUUGACCAUCUAUCAAUAGACGAAGAUGGUGACGCGUAAGGGUGGUACUGUGCCAUAGUCGUUUGAAAAUAUCAAAGAGGUCUUAGGUAUGAUAGUGACCCAAUGUUGAUCUAAACUUAUCCAAAGAGAGACAUAGAAGAUUUGGAAAAAGGGGACCUCAAGGUUGUAGAAUUGAAUGUUGAUGAUAUAGUAGGGAUGCAUUUAAUUCAUCAGUUUGUGGUCGGGGAUGAAAAGAUAUGGU
Lytechinus variegatus (green sea urchin) is the source of this 5006-nucleotide long non-coding RNA. RefSeq lists it as uncharacterized. NCBI's taxonomy places the organism in Eukaryota, Metazoa, Echinodermata, Echinoidea, Temnopleuroida, Toxopneustidae. The transcript has 3 exons. The record is from RefSeq and is a predicted model, not a curated record.